This 955-nucleotide long non-coding RNA is filed under the name Amphimedon queenslandica. RNAcentral describes it as "uncharacterized LOC109593264, transcript variant X2". The record is from RNAcentral. Lineage: Eukaryota; Metazoa; Porifera; Demospongiae; Haplosclerida; Niphatidae.
UUGAAUUCAUUUUUUAUUUUUAUUUAUUUAUUAUCUUUGUUUUAAAGGAGUCAUUUGAAGCUAACUGGAGCAAAUGGAGAUGUGCUUUUUUAAAACAUGCAGCUUGAAUAAUUCUGCUGGAUCCAAGUCAUCUUCGAAGCUCAUUAAUGCAAAAUUUCGUAAAGUCCUAUGUCAGAUAUGAAUGCUUUUAAAUGUUGAUGUGCAUCAUUAACUGAGUCACGAAGGGAAGCAAAGAGCAGGAGCCUUACUUCAUAUGAUAUUCCAUUUAUUUUACUUAAUACUAUGCGUGGAACUCCGUUAUCUGAGGUGACUGAUUGAAACAAUAAUCAUCCUUACAUAGUUAGAUUCUAUGACCCAGAUGAAGAUGUGGUGCCACAGUACUUUAUUGCUAUAGAACAAAAAUUGCACUGUGAAUGUAGUGCAUUGUCAACAUCCAUCUUUAAUUUAGUACAAUACAUCUUUAAUAUUGAGUACACUGGAAGUUUGAAGUAUAUAUUCCGAUUUCUGGAGCAGUUUAGAUUGGAUAUUAAGUUCUCUGACAACCCUAGACAAGUCUUUUCAUAUUAUGUUCUUGUUUUGUUUAACUAAUUCAGUAGAUAGUACAUGAUGUAUUAUUAUCUUGUUGUUAUAACAUUUCCAUUCAUUAUUGCAACACUAUGUCUUGUUAUUAGAACAGAAGCCCAUUGUUACUCCAUCUGCAUUGUUUUGACAAUUAGCAUUUUGUUAAAAGAACACGCUUGCAAUCCUGAUCUUUGUUGGACAUCAAUAGCGUCUUAAUGAGUGUUGGGGCUGCAGGUUUUGAGCUGAAAACUCCAAGAUUUUACAUCACAAGUCCAAAAACUGAUGAUAUGCUUUAUAAGCUAAUGCUAUACAUAACCUGUGCACUAGCUCACACAUCCUUUGAAGUAAGUAUGAAUACCAUUAAUAUUGUUUAUUUUAAAGUUCACCACUAAGU